UACAGAGGUCUCAAGCGUUGUUCGGAUUCAUUGGGCGUAAAGGGUGCGUAGGUGGCGCCGUAAGUCGGGUGUGAAAUUUCGGAGCUUAACUCCGAAACUGCAUUCGAUACUGCCGUGCUUGAGGACUGGAGAGGAGACUGGAAUUUACGGUGUAGCGGUGAAAUGCGUAGAUAUCGUAAGGAAGACCAGUGGCGAAGGCGGGUCUCUGGACAGUUCCUGACGCUGAGGCACGAAGGCCAGGGGAGCAAACGGG
This 253-nucleotide ribosomal RNA is filed under the name uncultured bacterium. RNAcentral's name for it is "partial 16S ribosomal RNA". It matches the Rfam family "Bacterial small subunit ribosomal RNA", at positions 524 to 776 of the family's 1533-position model. The record is from RNAcentral.